This 514-nucleotide ribosomal RNA is filed under the name Microcephalophis gracilis (graceful small-headed seasnake). RNAcentral describes it as "Hydrophis gracilis (graceful small-headed seasnake) partial 16S ribosomal RNA". It matches the Rfam family "Bacterial large subunit ribosomal RNA", at positions 1814 to 2602 of the family's 2925-position model. Lineage: Eukaryota; Metazoa; Chordata; Lepidosauria; Squamata; Elapidae. The record is from RNAcentral.
CAUAACCUUUAGCUAAACCAGUAUUAAAGGCAACGCCUGCCCAGUGAAUAAUUAAACGGCCGCGGUACCCUAACCGUGCAAAGGUAGCGUAAUCACUUGUCUAUUAAUUGUAGACCUGUAUGAAAGGCAUAAUGAGGGUUUAACUGUCUCUUUUAGUAAAUCAAUUAAACUGAUCUCCUAGUCCAAAAGCUAGGAUACCAACAUAAGACCAGAAGACCCUGUGAAACUUUAACUAAAAUAUUAAAACCCAUAAUAACUACUUUAGGUUGGGGCGACCUUGGAAAACAAAAGAACUUCCAUACAAGUAUUAUACAAAAUACACAGCCGGCCAACAAGCCUACAACGACCCAGCAUAGCUGAUAAUUGAACUAAGCUACUCCAGGGAUAACAGCGCUAUCUUCUUCAAGAGCCCAUAUCAAAAAGAAGGUUUACGACCUCGAUGUUGGAUCAGGACAUCCUAAUGGUGCAACCGCUAUUAAGGGUUCGUUUGUUCAACGAUUAACAGUCCUACGUG